RNAcentral lists this ribosomal RNA (449 nucleotides) under uncultured bacterium. Its description in RNAcentral is "partial 16S ribosomal RNA". It matches the Rfam family "Bacterial small subunit ribosomal RNA", at positions 29 to 523 of the family's 1533-position model. The record is from RNAcentral.
AACGAACGCUGGCGGCAGGCCUAACACAUGCAAGUCGAACGCCCUAGCAGUAGGGAGUGGCAGACGGGUGAGUAACACGUGGGAACGUGCCCUUCGGUUUGGAAUAACUCAGGGAAACUUGAGCUAAUACCGGAUACGUGCGAGAGCGGAAAGAUUUGUCGCCGAGGGAUCGGCCCGCGUCCGAUUAGCUAGUUGGUGAGGUAACGGCUCACCAAGGCGACGAUCGGUAGCUGGGCAGAGAGGAUGAUCAGCCAAACUGGGACUGAGACACGGCCCAGACUCCUACGGGAGGCAGCAGUGGGGAAUAUUAGACAAGGGGCGCAAGCCUGAUCCAGCCAUGCCGCGUGAGUGAUGAAGGCCCUAGGGUUGUAAAGCUCUUUCGCCAGGGACGAUAAUGACGGUACCUGGAUAAGAAGCCCCGGCUAACUUCGUGCCAGCAGCCGCAGUAA